This 1346-nucleotide ribosomal RNA is filed under the name uncultured bacterium. Its description in RNAcentral is "partial 16S ribosomal RNA". It matches the Rfam family "Bacterial small subunit ribosomal RNA", at positions 28 to 1381 of the family's 1533-position model. The record is from RNAcentral.
GACGAACGCUGGCGGCGUGCUUAACACAUGCAAGUCGAACGGAAAGGCCCUGCUUUUGUGGGGUGCUCGAGUGGCGAACGGGUGAGUAACACGUGAGUAACCUGCCCUUGACUUUGGGAUAACUUCAGGAAACUGGGGCUAAUACCGGAUAGGAGCUCCUGCUGCAUGGUGGGGGUUGGAAAGUUUCGGCGGUUGGGGAUGGACUCGCGGCUUAUCAGCUUGUUGGUGGGGUAGUGGCUUACCAAGGCUCUGACGGGUAGCCGGCCUGAGAGGGUGACCGGCCACAUUGGGACUGAGAUACGGCCCAGACUCCUACGGGAGGCAGCAGUGGGGAAUAUUGCACAAUGGGCGGAAGCCUGAUGCAGCAACGCCGCGUGCGGGAUGACGGCCUUCGGGUUGUAAACCGCUUUCGCCUGUGACGAAGCGUGAGUGACGGUAAUGGGUAAAGAAGCACCGGCUAACUACGUGCCAGCAGCCGCGGUGAUACGUAGGGGGCGAGCGUUGUCCGGAUUUAUUGGGCGUAAAGGGCUCGUAGGUGGUUGAUCGCGUCGGAAGUGUAAUCUUGGGGCUUAACCCUGAGCGUGCCUUCGAUACGGGUUGACUUGAGGAAGGUAGGGGAGAAUGGAAUUCCUGGUGGAGCGGUGGAAUGCGCAGAUAUCAGGAGGAACACCAGUGGCGAAGGCGGUUCUCUGGGCCUUUCCUGACGCUGAGGAGCGAAAGCGUGGGGAGCGAACAGGCUUAGAUACCCUGGUAGUCCACGCUGUAAACGGUGGGUACUAGGUGUGGGGUCCAUUCCACGGGUUCCGUGCCGUAGCUAACGCUUUAAGUACCCCGCCUGGGGAGUACGGCCGCAAGGCUAAAACUCAAAGGAAUUGACGGGGCCCCGCACAAGCGGCGGAGCAUGCGGAUUAAUUCGAUGCAACGCGUAGAACCUUACCUGGGUUUGACAUGGAUCGGGAGUGCUCAGAGAUGGGUGUGCCUCUUUUGGGGUCGGUUCACAGGUGGUGCAUGGCUGUCGUCAGCUCGUGUCGUGAGAUGUUGGGUUAAGUCCCGCAACGAGCGCAACCCUUGUUCACUGUUGCCAGCACGUUAUGGUGGGGACUCAGUGGAGACCGCCGGGGUCAACUCGGAGGAAGGUGGGGAUGACGUCAAGUCAUCAUGCCCCUUAUGUCCAGGGCUUCACGCAUGCUACAAUGGCUGGUACAGAGAGUGGCGAGCCUGUGAGGGUGAGCGAAUCUCGGAAAGCCGGUCUCAGUUCGGAUUGGGGUCUGCAACUCGACCUCAUGAAGUCGGAGUCGCUAGUAAUCGCAGAUCAGCAACGCUGCGGUGAAUACGUUCCCGGGGCU